Uranotaenia lowii is the source of this 321-nucleotide long non-coding RNA. RefSeq lists it as uncharacterized. The record is from RefSeq and is a predicted model, not a curated record. NCBI's taxonomy places the organism in Eukaryota, Metazoa, Arthropoda, Insecta, Diptera, Culicidae. The transcript has 3 exons.
GAUGUUUUGAUAUUUAGAUUGCGAGUUGAAUGCCGUUGGAUCACUAGAAAGAAAAUAGUUGAUUGCCACCGAGACUACCAUUUAGUGACCCAAGUGCCGACUGUUGACAGAAGUCAUUCAUCUCAGAGCUACCGACCGGCCUAAAAGAGAGGAAGAAAGCCAUCAGGAAAUUCAUCUAGAGUGAAGGAGAAACUUUUAAUGUAAGAUAGCAAAAUGUCGUAUGUACUGUUCAAUCUAAUUGUUGUAUUUAUUGUAGCUUUGAGUAAAUUUUAUAUUGAACUACAAGGAUUCGUUUUUGCCUGAGCCUGAGAAUUCCGAGAG